ACGGAAGGCAGCAGUGGGGAAUAUUGCGCAAUGGGGGGAACCCUGACGCAGCAACGCCGCGUGCGGGAAGAAGGUCUUCGGAUUGUAAACCGUUGUCGCAGGGGAAGAAGACAGUGACGGUACCCUGUGAGAAAGUCACGGCUAACUACGUGCCAGCAGCCGCGGUAAUACGUAGGUGACAAGCGUUGUCCGGAUUUACUGGGUGUAAAGGGCGCGUAGGCGGGACAGCAAGUCAGGAGUGAAAUACCGAGGCUCAACCUCGGGGCUGCUUUUGAAACUGUUGUUCUUGAGUAUCGGAGAGGAAAGCGGAAUUCCCAGUGUAGCGGUGAAAUGCGUAGAUAUUGGGAGGAACACCAGUGGCGAAGGCGGCUUUCUGGACGACAACUGACGCUGAGGCGCGAAAGUGUGGGGAGCAAACAGGAUUAGAUACCCUGGUA
RNAcentral lists this ribosomal RNA (437 nucleotides) under uncultured Clostridium sp. RNAcentral describes it as "partial 16S ribosomal RNA". It matches the Rfam family "Bacterial small subunit ribosomal RNA", at positions 341 to 792 of the family's 1533-position model. Lineage: Bacteria; Bacillati; Bacillota; Clostridia; Eubacteriales; Clostridiaceae. RNAcentral also lists the same sequence under 1 other name. The record is from RNAcentral.